GGACGAACGCUGGCGGCGUGCCUAACACAUGCAAGUCGAACGGAGUUAUUUAUGGAAGAUUCUUCGGAAUUGGAAGCAAAUAACUUAGUGGCGGACGGGCGAGUAACGCGUGAGUAACCUGCCCAUAAGAGGGGGAUAAUUCAUGGAAACGUGGACUAAUACCGCAUAUUGAGUAAAUAUCGCAUGAUAAUUACUUGAAAGAUUUUAUCGCUUAUGGAUGGACUCGCGUCUGAUUAGAUAGUUGGUGGGGUAACGGCCUACCAAGUCGACGAUCAGUAGCCGGACUGAGAGGUUGAUCGGCCACAUUGGGACUGAGACACGGCCCAGACUCCUACGGGAGGCAGCAGUGGGGAAUAUUGCACAAUGGGCGAAAGCCUGAUGCAGCAACGCCGCGUGAGGGAAGACGGUCUUCGGAUUGUAAACCUCUGUCUUUGGUGAAGAAGAAAGUGACGGUAACCAAGGAGGAAGCCACGGCUAACUACGUG
This 485-nucleotide ribosomal RNA is filed under the name uncultured bacterium. RNAcentral describes it as "bacterial SSU rRNA". It matches the Rfam family "Bacterial small subunit ribosomal RNA", at positions 27 to 507 of the family's 1533-position model. The record is from RNAcentral.